CACCACCGUAGAUAGCAACAGAUGGUUCCGGAGAAGUGCUUCAUCUGUAUGCUCUACACAAUAAGCCUCCUGACAAAGGAUCAUCUUCCUUUGAAGAAGAAUAUGGAAUACGUGAAGUGACUAGUUCCGAUUAUGCCAGGAUGAAGAA
This is a non-coding RNA of Aegilops tauschii subsp. strangulata, 148 nucleotides long. NCBI's taxonomy places the organism in Eukaryota, Viridiplantae, Streptophyta, Magnoliopsida, Poales, Poaceae. The record is from RefSeq and is a predicted model, not a curated record.